GGGCGUUAAGUUGCAGGGUAUAGACCCGAAACCCGGUGAUCUAGCCAUGGGCAGGUUGAAGGUUGGGUAACACUAACUGGAGGACCGAACCGACUAAUGUUGAAAAAUUAGCGGAUGACCUGUGGCUGGGGGUGAAAGGCCAAUCAAACCGGGAGAUAGCUGGUUCUCCCCGAAAGCUAUUUAGGUAGCGCCUCGUGAAUUCAUCUCCGGGGGUAGAGCACUGUUUCGGCUAGGGGGCCAUCCCGGCUUACCAACCCGAUGCAAACUGCGAAUACCGGAGAAUGUUAUCACGGGAGACACACGGCGGGUGCUAACGUCCGUCGUGAAGAGGGAAACAACCCAGACCGCCAGCUAAGGUCCCAAAGUCAUGGUUAAGUGGGAAACGAUGUGGGAAGGCCCAGACAGCCAGGAUGUUGGCUUAGAAGCAGCCAUCAUUUAAAGAAAGCGUAAUAGCUCACUGGUCGAGUCGGCCUGCGCGGAAGAUGUAACGGGGCUAAACCAUGCACCGAAGCUGCGGCAGCGAACGUAUCACCCAAGACAACUUUACGGAGUUGACGAUUGACGGAGCGAAGCGACGUCAAAGCGUUCAUUAAAGUCGAGUUGGCUUAGGGAUACGUUCGUUGGGUAGGGGAGCGUUCUGUAAGCCUGUGAAGGUGGCCUGUGAGGGUUGCUGGAGGUAUCAGAAGUGCGAAUGCUGACAUAAGUAACGAUAAAGCGGGUGAAAAGCCCGCUCGCCGGAAGACCAAGGGUUCCUGUCCAACGUUAAUCGGGGCAGGGUGAGUCGACCCCUAAGGCGAGGCCGAAAGGCGUAGUCGAUGGGAAAC
This 824-nucleotide ribosomal RNA is filed under the name Salmonella enterica subsp. enterica serovar Uganda. RNAcentral describes it as "partial 23S ribosomal RNA". It matches the Rfam family "Bacterial large subunit ribosomal RNA", at positions 690 to 1426 of the family's 2925-position model. The record is from RNAcentral. Lineage: Bacteria; Pseudomonadati; Pseudomonadota; Gammaproteobacteria; Enterobacterales; Enterobacteriaceae.